This 104-nucleotide microRNA precursor is filed under the name Zostera marina. The record is from RNAcentral. Lineage: Eukaryota; Viridiplantae; Streptophyta; Magnoliopsida; Alismatales; Zosteraceae.
UGAAUAUUGUGAUGUUGGUUCGGUUCAGUCAGAACUCAGAAGAAGAAUCUCUUCAUGAUCUUUAUUGAUUCUGAUUGAGCCGUGUCAAUAUCUUAGUACUCUUU